GGUCAGCAGUCGACGCCCGCAGGGGAGUGGAGACGGGUGAGUACGCGUGGGAACAUACCCUUUCCUGCGGAAUAGCUCCGGGAAACUGGAAUUAAUACCGCAUACGCCCUACGGGGGAAAGAUUUAUCGGGGAAGGAUUGGCCCGCGUUGGAUUAGCUAGUUGGUGGGGUAAAGGCCUACCAAGGCGACGAUCCAUAGCUGGUCUGAGAGGAUGAUCAGCCACAUUGGGACUGAGACACGGCCCAAACUCCUACGGGAGGCAGCAGUGGG
This 270-nucleotide ribosomal RNA is filed under the name Azotobacter chroococcum. RNAcentral's name for it is "partial 16S ribosomal RNA". It matches the Rfam family "Bacterial small subunit ribosomal RNA", at positions 73 to 358 of the family's 1533-position model. Lineage: Bacteria; Pseudomonadati; Pseudomonadota; Gammaproteobacteria; Pseudomonadales; Pseudomonadaceae. The record is from RNAcentral.